ACCAGCUGUGGUAUGGCUGUGGCUUUGCAGAGCACCCUGGAAGUGGUGUGGAUGGGGCUCCUCCUCAGCUCUCUGUGGAUGGUUGCAGAGAGCAAGGACCAAGUAUUUCAGCCUUCCUCUGUGGUAUCUUCCGAGGGAGCUGUGGUGGAAAUCCCCUGUAAUCACUCUAUAUCCACUGCUUAUGACUUCUUCUGGUACCUUCACUCCCCAGGAUGUGCACCAAGACUCUUAGUAAAGGGCUCAAGGCCUUCUCAGCAGGGACGCUACAACAUGACAUAUGAGCGAUUCUCUUCUUCACUGCUCAUCCUCCAGGUGCAGGUGGCAGAUGCUGCCUUUUACUACUGUGCUCUGGGGGACACAGAGGCAGAGAACCCAUAA
This is a non-coding RNA of Phyllostomus hastatus (greater spear-nosed bat), 378 nucleotides long. The record is from the annotation of a RefSeq genome assembly. Lineage: Eukaryota; Metazoa; Chordata; Mammalia; Chiroptera; Phyllostomidae.